ACGACCUUACUUGAACAGGAUCUGUUCUAUAGGAUCGUACCGCUAUAUCCUUGACUAAUAAGGAGGCAAGAACUUAAGCCUGGUUGAUGACUCAUGACCUGUGGGCCAGAGCGUGAUUAACUGCACGGGUUAGAUGAUGAAAUCCAAUCCACGGCAGUAGAGGAUCGUUCCUGUUCAGCUUUAGCUGACCAGGGUGGCUCUCAGGUUGUCUGACAGGCU
Molecule: non-coding RNA, 219 nt
Organism: Brachypodium distachyon (stiff brome)
Lineage: Eukaryota; Viridiplantae; Streptophyta; Magnoliopsida; Poales; Poaceae
Source: Rfam